CUUAUUGAUGCAUUAACAUAAACUUGAUACCUAUAUCAGGCAACAACAAAUUUCGUUUUGGUGUAAGCAGCUGACGCAUUCCGAUUUGGUUAUCGGAACGUUGGCAAGUAAUAAAUGUUUGCGUAUAACAGCACAAAUGUGCAUGUAACAGCUCAGACUUUGCUUGUAACAUGCGCUUAACAGAACAUCUGGGUGAGCACAGCUGUUUCCCGCCCAAUUUAAUUCGGACUUCAAAAUGGGAAAGCAUAAAUCAAGAUGAAAUCCUGGUGGGUUUUAUGAAAGACAACCCGGACAGAGCUUUGCGGCGCUCUCAAUGCUGUUGGGCUGCCAAUCAAGGACGCAUUGGGUUGGAAAAAGGUUUGGGCAGAUUGGAAAACAAACAUCCGCAAGAAGAUGGCGAAAAACAAAUCAGAAACUCGAGCUACAGGUGGAGGGCCCUUCGCUC
This is a long non-coding RNA of Drosophila miranda, 445 nucleotides long. RefSeq lists it as uncharacterized. NCBI's taxonomy places the organism in Eukaryota, Metazoa, Arthropoda, Insecta, Diptera, Drosophilidae. The record is from RefSeq and is a predicted model, not a curated record. The transcript has 4 exons.